Molecule: non-coding RNA, 28 nt
Filed under: Homo sapiens (human)
Lineage: Eukaryota; Metazoa; Chordata; Mammalia; Primates; Hominidae
Source: RNAcentral
UCAAAGAAGGCCUGCCAGAGGAGGUCGC